GACCUGGGGACCCCGGCAGCGGCAGCUUCUCCAUCCAGGUUUGCCCCCUUCACACAUACCUCGGGAUGCCCUGGAGGGCCUCUCAAGAGUGUACAGGAUCUCCGGAAGUAGGCAUUUAAGCAGGUACUCCGGUGUCAGUCCUGCAAGGUGAGUGUGGGACCCUGUUUUCUCUUUAGCUGCAGGGAUGCCAGAAGCCCAGUUGGAAAGCUCAGACUGCUCCCUGGGGCACUCUAAGGCCUCACCUAACUUCCUCCUAAGGGAGGGGGGUGGGAGGCCAGGGGCUGCUGCAGCAGGUAACUGUCCAUCCGGUGCCGGGGUUUAUCGAAGCUCAGAGAAGCCCUCCCUCAUGAGAAGCCCCUGGCAAUGCCCACUCUGGAUCAGGACAUAGACUCCAAGCCAGUUCUUCAGUGGAAAAUAACUUUUAUUCGUCCCAGGGAGUUGGCUAGAGUCCCCUCAGAACUUCUGAAACUGCUUCUUGGUGCCAGCAGCUUUAGUGACCUUGAGUACAUUGAAGCGCACAGUCUUGCUCAGGGGCCUGCACUCUCCCACGGUGACAAUGUCGCCAAUCUGUACAUCCCUGUGGAGUUAGACAAGUGGGGGUCUUUAAGAGGGGCCUCCUCAGUAACCCCCUUGUCCCCAGUGGCAGGCUGAGGGUCCCGCCUUGGCUCCGCCCACAUUUGCCAUUCAGGUGGUAAGAGUAACAAACCCUCCCUUUUAUCUCCCAGAUAAAAGUUUAGCAGUGUCUCCCCUUGCCCGCCCAUCCCCAGCAGUCCACACAAGCGGAGCCAGCACUCACGCCUCUGCUCUGCCCACACCCCACCAGCAGCCCUUCCGGACAGGUGUUCACCUGAAGCAGGGGGACAGGUGCACAGACAUGUUCUUGUGGCGCUUCUCAAAGCGAUUGUACUUUCGGAUGUAAUGGAGAUAGUCCCGGCGGAUGACGAUGGUCCUCUGCAUCUUCAUCUUGGUCACCACACCUGGGGAAGGGAGGUGUUAGCAGGCCAAGGGUAACCCAGCCGCUGAGUGGGGCUCCCCCAGAAGCCCCAUUUCUGGCAUCAGCCUUGCCAACUGGCUGUUCUCAGCAGUGUCCGUGGGAAUGUCUGAAGACCAUCGUGAGAAUGGACAUCAUCUGCCAGCGGCCGGUCCCAGACUCGGGAACCCAGAGCCACUUUCAACUUCUCACUCACCAGACAGGAUCCGCCCUCUGAUGGAGACGUUACCAGUGAAGGGGCAUUUCUUGUCUAUGUAGGUGCCCUCGAUGGCCUGAAAGGAUGAGAAGGCGCGGUUUGGAUUACCGGUUCCUAAACUGAACCAAGAAUGAGCCUCAGGGGCCCCAGAGGCAAUGCCCCCACAUCUGCAGUGUGUCCUGUACCUCCUUGGGCGUCUUGAAGCCUAGACCGAUGUUUUUAUAGUACCGAGGGAGUUUCUCCUUGCCAGUUUCCCCCAGCAGAACACGCUUCUUGUUUUGAAAGAUUGUAGGCUGCUUCUGGUAAGCACGCUCGGUCUGUAGGAAUCAACAAAUUUGGUGAGAUUACAGGUAAACUUCCAGCGUCCCACAAUGAACCUAAACAGUCACCCCAAACUUAAACACACUAACGUUCCAGCACGUUCCACGGCCUCCAGAGUUUGUCUUAGGCCAGAAUCAUGGCCUUUGGGCAUGCUGACUUUCCAAACACACAGGUUCAGCCACUCCAGGAUUCACACCAUACAUAAGUAACUGAGCCUGGUGGGCCAGACGCGUCAUCAAGCCAUUCGCCAAGCUGAGGCAGGAGGAUGACAAGCGCUCGUCCUGUCUGACCUACUAAGGGAUCUAAAGGCCAGAACCUGAGUCAAAACUUAAAUUUACGGCGAGGCUUUCCGGUGAGCACGAGGCCCGGGCUCAGCCCCGCUGCAGGGCUCUGUCCGGCCGGCCUCCGUCUUGGCUCCUCCGCCGGGGCCCAGCAGCCCCCGCUCGCAGAGCACUCGGGACCCCCCUCCCGCGGACGCCCCUCCCUUCAGCCAGCUCGGAAGCGACCGAGAAGCCGAGGACCAGGGCGCACCCUGCCGCGCGGGGCCCGCAGGCUCGGCGCCGGCCGCAGCUCCAACCUGAAUGUCCGCCAUCUUCCCGGCAGCCUGCGAAAGAGAGCGCGGGGCGACUCCCGGCUUCCCUUAUCCACAGCGCGAGGCCUGAGCGGAAGUGACGCAAGGGCCAGCCCUUUACGGAUCAGGAGGCACUUCCGGUACGGAGCACGCGAUUUCGGGACUGUCCGUACGCCGCCAUGACGGUGGGGACCGGAAGCAGAGCCUAUCAUCUCGCGAGAUCCCAAGCGGCCGUUGCAUCUGCGGUAUCGCGAGAGUCGGGGGUGGGGCUGAGUCCCGUGGGAUCGGGGCCGGGCGCGGCGGCGGCCAUCUCUCACCCGGGCGGCGGACCCGUUUCACGGGUGCCCUGGGUUGUGAAAUGUGGCUGUUGUCACUGAAGUGGUUGGCUUUAUUCUGUCACAGAACUUAAGCACACAUGCACACGGGGCUGGUGUUGAGUGCUUUCGUGGCACGGUCUCUGUGAUAGAGUUCUUUACAUCACCAUAUCCCUGCCCCAGGCUGCCUGGCGGCCGGAGCUGCAGGCGUUUAAUGAGCUAGAAUUAACCAGUUCAUCCGCUCCCCUGGGUUCAGGUGCCGGUUACUGAGGCGGCCAUUCCUCUCUGAAACGGAGGGAGCCCGCGCAGUAAAUUAAGCCAGGGCUCAGGAGGCAGAGCUUGUGACAAAUGGAGUUUCAUGCUAGAUGCAGGGCAGGGCAGUCAUUUUCAAAACAAUGACUUUCGUGAAUGGUGUUGGGUACCUUUAAUCCCAUCACUCAGGCCGGCCCCGGGCCACGCAGUGAAACUGUCUCAUAGUUAGACUGAAACAAACGACUUCAUACGUUCUCAUGACUGAAUGAUACAUUGUAGUUGUCUCUCCCCAUCAGGAGUAGCAAAAACUUCCUGUUACAAUUUCACAAAAAGGGUUAUCAUGGGAAAGAUUUGAUAUAUAUAUAUAUAUCACCAAGACCCAUUUCUAUCCAAAAGUGCGUUCAUGGUAAUAUGCCCCUACCCCUAGGAAACUCCACUGAAACCCUUCUGACAUGUGGACUUAUAUUCUGCCAGCUUAACUAGUCCAGGCUGACCAUCAUCCACCCUAAAAUUACAAGGAUACAAUUAGGACGUGGUUUUCCAGACUGAAAGGUUUUGUGUUAAACAGAUCUGGCCUUCUUGGAACUCCCUUCCUGGACCAGACUGGGUCAAGGGAUUAUUUUCAAGACAGGUCUGGGUAGCUGUGGCUGUCUAGAUCACUCUGUAGACCAACCAGACUGACCUGAAACCCACAAGGCCCUAGGGUCCCUGCCUUCCAACUACUGAGGUUAAAGGCUUGUGCCACACUGCCCAUCCCAUGGCUUUCCUUUCAGAGGGAAUAGAAAUAGUUGAAGGUGACUUGGAACCAUCCAUAUGUGUAGACCACUGUCACAAUUCUACAUCUAAACUCCUCACAACUGGGCAGCGACGUCUUCAAUCCUAUCAGAAGGCAACAAUCCACAUUUAAACUCCUCACAGGUGGUUAAGUGGUGGCGCACACCCCUAAACCCAUCCCUAGAUUUGAGACAGCCUGGUCUACAGAGUGGGCACCGCACAGCCAUGGGUACUGCAAAUAGAGGGGGGGUCCUGAUCAGAGAUGGAUGUGAUUCUUUAUUACAGCUGCCUGCACUGCCCAUGCUACUCAUACCUGGUAUAGGUUGGCAGGAAACGCCUAGUAUGUACAGGGUUUCCGUGAGGGUCACUAGUGCUAUUAAGUUGGGAUGCUUAUAGCCACCAAGAUUAAAGCCCUCUUGGGAAGAAAACUGA
Molecule: long non-coding RNA, 3851 nt
Organism: Mesocricetus auratus (golden hamster)
Lineage: Eukaryota; Metazoa; Chordata; Mammalia; Rodentia; Cricetidae
Exons: 2
Source: RefSeq, a predicted model, not a curated record